UCCCAGGUGGCCUACCAGUUGAGACUCAGCAUUGUCACUGCUGUGACUCAGGUUCGAUCCCUGACCCAGGAC
This 72-nucleotide transfer RNA is filed under the name Sus scrofa (pig). It matches the Rfam family "tRNA". From Rfam's summary of the family: Transfer RNA (tRNA) molecules are approximately 80 nucleotides in length. Their secondary structure includes four short double-helical elements and three loops (D, anti-codon, and T loops). Lineage: Eukaryota; Metazoa; Chordata; Mammalia; Artiodactyla; Suidae. The record is from Rfam by way of RNAcentral.